This 531-nucleotide ribosomal RNA is filed under the name Cherax cuspidatus. RNAcentral describes it as "partial 16S ribosomal RNA". It matches the Rfam family "Bacterial large subunit ribosomal RNA", at positions 1851 to 2638 of the family's 2925-position model. The record is from RNAcentral. Lineage: Eukaryota; Metazoa; Arthropoda; Malacostraca; Decapoda; Parastacidae.
AGUCUAACCUGCCCACUGAGGGUUUAAAGGGCCGCGGUAUUAUGACCGUGCGAAGGUAGCAUAAUCAUUAGUCUUUUAAUUGGAGGCUGGUAUGAAGGGUUGGACGAGAGAUUGACUGUCUCAUAUCUUGGAUAUUGAAUUUAACUUUUAAGUGAGAGGGCUUAAAUAGGUUAGAGGGACGAUAAGACCCUGUAAAGUUUUUACAUUAGGGUUAACUAGAAAUGAUUUAGAUUGGUAAGGUUAAUUGUUAAUUAGGUGUUUAGUUGGGGCGACUAGGAUAUAAGUUAUAUAACUGUUUCUUUGUAGGAAUCAAAAAUAUUUGAGUUUAUGACCCUUUAUAAGGAUUGUAGAAUAAAUUACUUUAGGGAUAACAGCGUAAUUUUUUUUGAGAGUUCUUAUCGACAAAAGAGUUUGCGACCUCGAUGUUGAAUUAAAAUUUCUUUGUGAUGUAGCAGUUACAAGAGAGGGUCUGUUCGACCUUUAAAUUUUUACAUGAUUUGAGUUCAGACCGGCGUAAGCCAGGUUGGUUUU